RNAcentral lists this ribosomal RNA (473 nucleotides) under uncultured bacterium. Its description in RNAcentral is "bacterial SSU rRNA". It matches the Rfam family "Bacterial small subunit ribosomal RNA", at positions 55 to 562 of the family's 1533-position model. The record is from RNAcentral.
AUGCAAGUCGAGCGAGAAAGGGAGCAAUCCUGAGUACAGCGGCGUACGGGUGAGUAACACGUGGAUGAUCUACCUCUUAGUGGGGAAUAACUUUGGGAAACCGAAGCUAAUACCGCAUAAGCCUGAGAAGGGAAAGCCGAAAGGCGCUGGGAGAGGAGUCCGCGGCCGAUUAGCUAGUUGGUAGGGUAAAGGCCUACCAAGGCGACGAUCGGUAGCCGGCCUGAGAGGGCACACGGCCACACUGGCACUGAAACACGGGCCAGACUCCUACGGGAGGCAGCAGUGGGGAAUCUUGCACAAUGGAGGCAACUCUGAUGCAGCGACGCCGCGUGAGCGAUGAAGCCCUUCGGAGUGUAAAGCUCUUUCGACGGGGACGAUAAUGACGGUACCCGGAGAAGAAGCUGCGGCUAACUACGUGCCAGCAGCCGCGGUAAUACGUAGGCAGCGAGCGUUGUUCGGAAUUACUGGGCGUA